Molecule: ribosomal RNA, 490 nt
Filed under: uncultured bacterium
Lineage: Bacteria
Description: partial 16S ribosomal RNA
Rfam family: Bacterial small subunit ribosomal RNA
Source: RNAcentral
AUUGAACGCUGGCGGCAGGCCUAACACAUGCAAGUCGAACGGUAACAGGAAACAGCUUGCUGUUUCGCUGACGAGUGGCGGACGGGUGAGUAAUGUCUGGGAAACUGCCUGAUGGCGGGGGAUAACUACUGGAAACGGUAGCUAAUACCGCAUAACGUCGCAAGACCAAAGAGGGGGACCUUCGGGCCUCUUGCCAUCGGAUGUGCCCAGAUGGGAUUAGCUAGUAGGUGGGGUAACGGCUCACCUAGGCGACGAUCCCUAGCUGGUCUGAGAGGAUGACCAGCCACACUGGAACUGAGACACGGUCCAGACUCCUACGGGAGGCAGCAGUGGGGAAUAUUGCACAAUGGGCGCAAGCCUGAUGCAGCCAUGCCGCGUGUAUGAAGAAGGCCUUCGGGUUGUAAAGUACUUUCAGCGGGGAGGAAGGGAGUAAAGUUAAUACCUUUACUCAUUGACGUUACCCGCAGAAGAAGCACCGGCUAACUCCGUG